This 486-nucleotide ribosomal RNA is filed under the name uncultured bacterium. RNAcentral's name for it is "bacterial SSU rRNA". It matches the Rfam family "Bacterial small subunit ribosomal RNA", at positions 501 to 990 of the family's 1533-position model. The record is from RNAcentral.
CUACGUGCCAGCAGCCGCGGUAAUACGGAAGGUCCUGGUGUUAUCCGGAUUUAUUGGGUUUAAAGGGAGCGUAGGCCGCAGAUUAAGUGUGUUGUGAAAUUCAGGCGCCCAACGUCUGACUUGCAGCGCAAACUGGUCUGCUUGAGUUCGCGCAACGCAGGCGGAAUUCGUCGUGUAGCGGUGAAAUGCUUAGAUAUGACGAAGAACUCCGAUUGCGAAGGCAGCUUGCGGGAGCGUUACUGACGCUGAAGCUCGAAAGUGCGGGUAUCGAACAGGAUUAGAUACCCUGGUAGUCCGCACGGUAAACGAUGGAUGCCCGUUUUUGGCUUUUAAAGUCAGAGACCAAGCGAAAGCAUUAAGCAUCCCACCUGGGGAGUACGCCGGCAACGGUGAAACUCAAAGGAAUUGACGGGGGCCCGCACAAGCGGAGGAACAUGUGGUUUAAUUCGAUGAUACGCGAGGAACCUUACCCGGGCUUGAAUUGCC